AAAUUGAAGAGUUUGAUCAUGGCUCAGAUUGAACGCUGGCGGCAGGCCUAACACAUGCAAGUCGAGCGGCAGCGGGAAAGUAGCUUGCUACUUUUGCCGGCGAGCGGCGGACGGGUGAGUAAUGCCUGGGGAUCUGCCCAGUCGAGGGGGAUAACAGUUGGAAACGACUGCUAAUACCGCAUACGCCCUACGGGGGAAAGGAGGGGACCUUCGGGCCUUUCGCGAUUGGAUGAACCCAGGUGGGAUUAGCUAGUUGGUGGGGUAAUGGCUCACCAAGGCGACGAUCCCUAGCUGGUCUGAGAGGAUGAUCAGCCACACUGGAACUGAGACACGGUCCAGACUCCUACGGGAGGCAGCAGUGGGGAAUAUUGCACAAUGGGGGAAACCCUGAUGCAGCCAUGCCGCGUGUGUGAAGAAGGCCUCGGGUUGUAAAGCACUUUCAGCGAGGAGGAAAGGUUGGCGCCUAAUACGUGUCAACUGUGACGUUACUCGCAGAAGAAGCACCGGCUAACUCCGUGCCAGCAGCCGCGGUAAUA
This 536-nucleotide ribosomal RNA is filed under the name Aeromonas salmonicida subsp. salmonicida. RNAcentral's name for it is "bacterial SSU rRNA". It matches the Rfam family "Bacterial small subunit ribosomal RNA", at positions 1 to 525 of the family's 1533-position model. Lineage: Bacteria; Pseudomonadati; Pseudomonadota; Gammaproteobacteria; Aeromonadales; Aeromonadaceae. The record is from RNAcentral.